Molecule: unclassified non-coding RNA, 1431 nt
Filed under: Dermatophagoides pteronyssinus (European house dust mite)
Lineage: Eukaryota; Metazoa; Arthropoda; Arachnida; Sarcoptiformes; Pyroglyphidae
Description: uncharacterized LOC113794339, transcript variant X1
Source: RNAcentral
GUAUGGGCUGCAAAAUAUCCUAUCAUCGUGGAUAAUGAGAAAAGUAUGCAUAGAUUUCCAUAUAAACCAAUAUAUGGUUUACCUGAUAAUUUGAAUUGUACAAAUGAUUUACGAAAAAAAUUUAAUGAAUGUGAAGAUGAUGCCAGUGAAACAUGGUCAAUUACGAUUGAUGAAUAUUUUUAUGAAACAAGAAAAUUUUGUUGUUUUGCCUGGUCACAAUUAACAUGUGAAAUAUCUGUAGCCAAAGAAUGUGAAAAAGAAUACGCUGAAUUACUUCUACAACAAACAAUAGAUUCAUUUGAUAAAAUUUGUAGUUCAAAAAAUUAUGGCAGUAAAAGCAUUCCUUGUUCGAUUACACCAAAGAUACAGCAAAUAUUAAUUAUUGUUGGUGUGAUUGUUGGAAUAAUAACAUUUUUGUGUUUGAUAGCUGGAUUGGCAUAUAAAUGUAAUCAAGCAAGUAAAAUAGGUAAAUUAAAAACCCAAGCAUACAAGUUAGCUGAAGAAAAUAAAAAGAGGGAAAUUCAAGCCAUAUUGGAUAGUUAUAAAGGACGUGGUGCAAAGUUGAAUAAGCAAGGACAGCCAUCAAAUAUAGGAUCAUCAUUUUUAACAAAAAAGAAUGAUUCUAAAAAGUUACUUGUUACUAGUGGAUCCAUUCGGAAUAUUCCACAAUCUUCCCAAGAUCAAACAGAUAUCAUAAUAACUUCAACAUCAAACCAACCCGAAUUGGAGAAUAUUACGAAACCGGACUCUUCAUCUUUAACAGAUGGAAUUCUCAUUGAAAAUGCUAAUAAAAAAGUAGCACCACCAAAACCACCAAGAAAAUCGAAAAUGUUGGUGAGUCCUACGGCGGAACCGGACAUUUCAUCUUCAACACAGGGAAGUCACCUCGAAAAUGCUAAUAAAAAAGUAGCACCACCAAAACCACCAAGAAAAUCGAAAAUGUUGGUGAGUCCUACAAAACCGGACAUUUCAUCUUCAACACAGGAAAAUCUUGAAAAUUCUAAUAAAAGAUUAGCACAAAGACCAAUACCAAAAAAAUUAAAAUACCAGAAUUUAGGGGAAUUGUGGGCUUCAUUUGCAUUAAAAGAUGAUCAAACCAAUGUUAAUAAAGCAGGUCAGGAACGAAUUCUAAUACCAGUAGACCAGAUGUCUGAUGAAAGUAAAAGAAGAGAAACUGAAGCCAUAUUUGAAAGUUAUAGAGGACGUCCAUUUCGCCAGUAUCAAACAAGGACGAAUAAAAGUAUAACAACAAAUCAAUCAGCCAUUAAUAAAAAAGUAUCGGAUUUAUAAUUUCUGAAUCUUGCAGGUCUUGGUGGAAUUACGUCCGACAUUUCAUCUUCCUCACAAGGAAAUCUUGAAAAUGCUAAUAAAAGAUUAGCACAAAGACCAAUACCAAAAAAAUUAAAAUACCAGAAUUUAGGGGAAUUGUGG